UGCAAGUCGAGGGGUAACGAUGUCUUCGGACAGGCGACGACCGGCGCACGGGUGAGUACCGCGUUUGUAACCUACCUUUAACUGGAGAAUAGCCCGAAGAAAUUCGGAUUAAUACUCCAUAAUACUAUGAUCUGGCAUCUUUUUAUAGUUAAAGCUCCGGCGGUUAAAGAUGGGCAUGCGUAACAUUAGUUUGUUGGUGAGGUAACGGCUCACCAAGACUACGAUGUUUAGGGGGUCUGAGAGGAUGGUCCCCCACACUGGUACUGAGACACGGACCAGACUCCUACGGGAGGCAGCAGUGAGGAAUAUUGGUCAAUGGGCGCAAGCCUGAACCAGCCAUGCCGCGUGAAGGAUGACAGCGCUAUGCGUUGUAAACUUCUUUUGUACAGGAAGAAACACUUCUACGUGUAGAAGCUUGACGGUACUGUACGAAUAAGCAUCGGCUAACUCCGUGCCAGCAGCCGCGGUAAUACGGAGGAUGCAAGCGUUAUCCGGAUUUAUUGGGUUUAAAGGGUACGUAGGCGGAAAAUUAAGUCAGUAGUGAAAUCCUGCAGCUUAACUGUAGAACUGUUAUUGAUACUGGUUUUCUUGAAUAUAGUUGAGGUAGGCGGAAUGUGUAAUGUAGCGGUGAAAUGCUUAGAUAUUACACAGAACACCGAUUGCGAAGGCAGCUUACUAAGCUAUGAUUGACGCUGAGGUAC
Molecule: ribosomal RNA, 701 nt
Filed under: uncultured bacterium
Lineage: Bacteria
Description: bacterial SSU rRNA
Rfam family: Bacterial small subunit ribosomal RNA
Source: RNAcentral